Molecule: long non-coding RNA, 203 nt
Filed under: Homo sapiens (human)
Lineage: Eukaryota; Metazoa; Chordata; Mammalia; Primates; Hominidae
Description: HSALNT0118222
Source: RNAcentral
GUAAGGCUGAGAGAGAGAAAAAAGACCCCGACAGCUUUUGUCUGUUUCCUGGCAGGGAUGGGGUUCUAAGCUCUCUUUGUCUAGCUGGGGAAGUGGCUUGUAGACCAGGUCAAGGGACAGAAAGCACGAAUUCAUCCAUCCAUUAGCCUAUCUGUCUGUCUGUUUAUCUAUCUAUCUAUCUAUCUAUCUAUCUAUCCAUCCAU